GUGUAUCUGAGCUGGAAGCAGAACACAUCUUCCACAAACGACGAGCAUUUGCAUAUUUGGGGGAAAUAGAAACCCUAGAAAACAGUGCGAGUGGACGAUGAGUGAAAGAAGGAAACGGAGCUGAAAUGCAUUUAGCCAUUGAUGAAUAAACCAAGUCCAUGAGUAGAAGAAAGGAAGAGAAAUUAGGGUUAGGAAAAUUGAAAAUCGAAAUUGAUGAAGAAUUUUAGGGUUUUAUUGUUUAUGAAAUGGUGAAGAUGAGAGCUAUCACUGUCG
Molecule: unclassified non-coding RNA, 273 nt
Filed under: Hevea brasiliensis (rubber tree)
Lineage: Eukaryota; Viridiplantae; Streptophyta; Magnoliopsida; Malpighiales; Euphorbiaceae
Source: RNAcentral